RNA transcript from Solanum pennellii, 2164 nucleotides. It is a transcript of the gene named chaperone protein dnaJ 49, with no coding region annotated. The record is from RefSeq and is a predicted model, not a curated record. The transcript has 4 exons. Lineage: Eukaryota; Viridiplantae; Streptophyta; Magnoliopsida; Solanales; Solanaceae.
UUUCACUGAUGUGGCGCGUGUGAAUUGGUCCGACUAUAAAGACCGCAAAUCUGCUCACGUCUCUCAUUUUUUGCGACUCUCAAAAUCUCCUCUUUCUCUGCUCACCGUCCGGUCGGUCGGUCGGCUCUUUCGAUUUUACUUCCGGUAGCAGGUGAAUUGAAAUUGCAAGCGCUUGUAUCUCUCUGAGUAUUGUGACCUCUAGAAGAUCGCGUUUUUGUUUCAGAGUUGUGAUUUUCUGUUUUAAAGUUUCUUGUCAAGUUGAGUUGAAGUUGUUGCAUUGAACGCUAGAAUGGAAGGUAACAAGGAUGAGGCUUUAAGGUGCAUUGGUAUUGCCAAGGAGGCAAUUGCAUCUGGCAAUAAGCAGAAAGCACUCAAGUUUAUCAGAAUUGCACGGCGCCUUAACAAUGAUCUAUCUGUGGAAGAUCUUUUGGCUGCAUGUGAAAAUCUGGAGUCACCGACUCCUGAGUCCUCAAGUGAGGUUAGAAAUGUUGAAAAUAUGAAAAAUGACAUGAGUCGUGUUAAGUCUGAUGAGGUAUCCGAUGGGGAGAGGAACUAUACUGACGAACAUGUGCAGUUGAUUAGGCAAAUUAAGAUUAAGAAGGACUAUUACGCGAUUCUUGGUCUAGAGAAGGGUUGUUCAGUUGAGGAGAUUAGGAAGUCAUACAGGAAACUGUCAUUGAAAGUUCAUCCCGACAAAAAUAAAGCUCCAGGCUCUGAAGAGGCAUUUAAGAAAGUAUCCAAGGCAUUUAAGUGUUUGAGUGAUGAUGAUUCAAGGAGGCAGUAUGACCAGACAGGUUUGGCUGAGGAUUUCGAGUAUAAUCAGCAGCAUAAUGUCAGGCGCAGGAGGAGAACUGGGCACAGCUAUUAUGAUGAUGAUUUUGAUCCUGAUGAGAUUUUCAGAGCGUUUUUUGGGCGUUCCGAUAUGUUUAGGACAGCUCAUGUUUACAGGACAAGAACAAAUGCUGCUCCCCAGAGAGAGGAUUUAGGUUCCACUGGGCCCAACUUCCUUCUCCUCCUUCAGUUAUUGCCAUUUUUAAUCAUCAUUUUACUUGCUUAUCUUCCUUUCUCGGAGCCUGAGUAUUCUUUGCAGAAGAACUACCAAUAUCAGUUUAGGAAGAUGACUGAAGAACAUGGAGUAGAAUAUUUUGUUAAAUCACAUGAAUUUGAUCAGAAGUAUCCUCUUGGUAGUCCUGAUCGAGAUAACAUUGAAGACCAUGUUAUUAGGGAUUACAAAAAUAUGCUUGGUCGUUACUGUCAUAUAGAACUCCAGAGGCGACAAUGGAACAGGAAGUACCCAACUCCUCACUGUGACAGGCUUCAAUCUUUUGGAGUAGCAUGAGUUUUUUCCUAUGUGCAAUUUUUGGAGCAAAUGCAGCACCAUCUUGUAUUUCAUGCACAUCUGAAUGAUAUCUGCUAGUGUGCACGAAUAUGUACAGAGAGACCCUUCCCACUUCCAAGUUAUUUCAGAUUCUUUUAGUGCAAAAAGUAGCCUAAAAUGUUGUGAUUUCUCUAUUCAAGGUCUGUUGGCUAUAGAUGGGAUGAAGCUUUCAGGUGCUAGUUGAACCUUUUUGUAUGCUAAGAAAAGGCUGGUUUGGCAGAUAAGGCAAGUAAUGAAGCUUUGUUUCCACAAGUUUUGACCAACUAUCGUUCUCGUAUUGUUAUGGAUGUCUGUUCACUUCCCAACACCCAUCUUAAUGACCAAGAAAGAAUCGAGGCUGCUGACACCUUAUUUACACUUUCUUUUUUCGCAGUAUUGUUAUUUUUGCAGUGCUCGGUACUCCCCAUCUAUUAAUCGCUUCCAUAACCUGCUAAUAGAGCUGGUUAGUCGCAGGAAACUGAAAGGAAUGCAAAUAUGAUGAAAUAAGCGUAACAUAUUUUCCAGUGCUUUAUAAUACUUUGCCUCGAGAUAGAUACCUUGUAAUCUUGUAUACUAUAGCUAGUCGUAUGCAUAUUUCAGACUGUUAAACUGUAUGGUGAGUGAAAUAAGCACGCGAAACUUUCCAGAAGUUCCUGAUUCUCAGUUGUUUCACAAAGCUAGCCAACGCGUCUCCAGGUUUGUAUGCACAACAUGCACUUUAUUACCCUAUGAUCUCCGUUCUGAUAUGUAUGACACUAUUUCCUUGUUACGUUUGUUGAAAUCAUUUUGAAACAAUCAAAUUUUAUA